ACGGAAGGCAGCAGUGAGGAAUAUUGGUCAAUGGGCGAGAGCCUGAACCAGCCAAGUCGCGUGAAGGAUGAAGGUUCUAUGGAUUGUAAACUUCUUUUGUCUGAGGGUAAAGUGAGUCACGUGUGGCUUAUUGCAAGUAUCAGACGAAUAAGCAUCGGCUAACUCCGUGCCAGCAGCCGCGGUAAUACGGAGGAUGCGAGCGUUAUCCGGAUUUAUUGGGUUUAAAGGGUGCGUAGGCGGGCUAUUAAGUCAGCGGUCAAAUCGUGUUGCUCAACAAUACUGAGCCGUUGAAACUGGUGGUCUUGAGUGUAAAUGAGGUAGGCGGAAUGUGACGUGUAGCGGUGAAAUGCUUAGAUAUGUCACAGAACCCCGAUUGCGAAGGCAGCUUACCAAGAUACAACUGACGCUGAGGCACGAAAGCGUGGGUAUCAAACAGGAUUAGAUACCCUGGUA
This 453-nucleotide ribosomal RNA is filed under the name uncultured Porphyromonadaceae bacterium. RNAcentral describes it as "bacterial SSU rRNA". It matches the Rfam family "Bacterial small subunit ribosomal RNA", at positions 341 to 792 of the family's 1533-position model. Lineage: Bacteria; Pseudomonadati; Bacteroidota; Bacteroidia; Bacteroidales; Porphyromonadaceae. The record is from RNAcentral.